Dermochelys coriacea (leatherback sea turtle) is the source of this 109-nucleotide long non-coding RNA. RefSeq lists it as uncharacterized. Lineage: Eukaryota; Metazoa; Chordata; Testudines; Dermochelyidae. The record is from RefSeq and is a predicted model, not a curated record. The transcript is spliced from 3 exons.
AUCUUCCUACUGUAUUUUCCACUGCAUGCAUCCAAUGAAAUGGGCUGCAGCCCACGAAAGCCCAUGCUCAAACAAACCUGCCAGUCUCUAAGCUGCCACAAGCACUCCC